AGAACGAACGCUGGCGGCAGGCCUAACACAUGCAAGUCGAACGCCCCGCAAGGGGAGUGGCAGACGGGUGAGUAACACGUGGGAACAUACCCUUCGGUUCGGAAUAACUCAGGGAAACUUGAGCUAAUACCGGAUACGUCCUGGCGGAGAAAGAUUCAUCGCCGAAGGAUUGGCCCGCGUCCGAUUAGCUAGUUGGUGAGGUAAUGGCUCACCAAGGCGACGAUCGGUAGCUGGUCUGAGAGGAUGAUCAGCCACAUUGGGACUGAGACACGGCCCAAACUCCUACGGGAGGCAGCAGUGGGGAAUAUUGGACAAUGGGCGCAAGCCUGAUCCAGCCAUGCCGCGUGAGUGAUGACGGCCUUAGGGUUGUAAAGCUCUUUCGUCAGGGACGAUAAUGACGGUACCUGAAGAAGAAGCCCCGGCUAACUUCGUGCCAGCAGCCGC
This 444-nucleotide ribosomal RNA is filed under the name uncultured bacterium. RNAcentral's name for it is "SSU rRNA". It matches the Rfam family "Bacterial small subunit ribosomal RNA", at positions 26 to 518 of the family's 1533-position model. The record is from RNAcentral.